AUGGUGGAGGCACCGGGGACUUUUGUAGAGGUGAAUGACACUCGAGUAAUUAUUGGAAAAGGACUGUCACUCGAUUCAAUUAAAUUCCCUGAUUUCCACAUGUUCGACACAAACUGGAAAAUGAAAUUGCAUGCCGAAUGGAGCGAAGAACUUGGAACCGACGUAGUUUCGAUCAAGCUUCGGCACCGGAGGAGAAAUGUUGAUGAUAUCUGGAGUAUGGAUGCAACAGUCAAAAUUCAUUUUGAACAAGACUGGCUGAAAGGCGAGGUACAAGUAGAUUCCCAAUUUUCGAAUCAAGGUCAAGAAAUUGAGAUUCCCAACUGUGGAACGGUUGUGGGCAAAUUAAAUUCUUCAGAAAUCCAUCUCUGUGUUCACAUAUUUAUGCAGUGUUCCAGAUAAAUCAGUCAAAAGGAAUUCAACUUCGGAACUACAUCGACUUCGCACGACCAAUCCCCAUUUUUUCAGACACUAUAGUUCUGGUGGAUGGCGUUAAAUUCCAUGUAAAUCGAAUGAUUCUCUCAAUGGCUUCGCCUAUCUUCUUGGAAGCAUUUGUCACUAAUUUCGAUGAAAGAUCCUUGGAGUUGUGCAAUAUCUCUGCGCCGGAUUUUCGUCGAAUUCUUAACAUUAUCUAUCCACCUCAUCUGCCUCCAAAGCAGUGGAUCAAAGAGAGUGAUUUGGUUGAGCAAUUCGAACACAUUCAACGGAUUCUUCGAAUUGGAAAAUCACUUCAAAUUUCAAUCGUGUUGGAAGUUGCUGACAAAUGGCUGGUUAAAUACGGGCGGCACAAAUUAGGAGACACACUUCACUUGGCACAAGCGUUCGGGCUACGGGAGUUGAUGGGCUCCAAACUUGCCAAGAUGCGAUCUUUAGAAGAAAUAAAGAAAUGCCAAGACCAAAUUCAAGUAUUAAGUUGCAAGACGAAAGCCCUGAUUCUGGACCGCAUUCUAAGCACUCUGUAG
This 959-nucleotide unclassified non-coding RNA is filed under the name Caenorhabditis elegans. Its description in RNAcentral is "Non-coding transcript of protein-coding gene Y43E12A.3b". Lineage: Eukaryota; Metazoa; Nematoda; Chromadorea; Rhabditida; Rhabditidae. The record is from RNAcentral.